This 348-nucleotide transfer-messenger RNA is filed under the name Clostridiales bacterium. It matches the Rfam family "transfer-messenger RNA". Rfam says of the family: Bacterial tmRNA, also known as 10Sa RNA or SsrA, is named for its dual tRNA and mRNA-like properties. RNAcentral also lists the same sequence under 1 other name. The record is from RNAcentral. Lineage: Bacteria; Bacillati; Bacillota; Clostridia; Eubacteriales.
GGGCAUGUACCGGCUUCGACGUGGAGCGAGGUGGCAGUUUAAGCACGUAGCAGGCUCGUCUGCUUAUAACGGAACUGUUCUAAAAUAAAGGACAACUCUAAUAAUUUUGGAUUGAUGGCUGCUUAAUGCCAUCUGUCGACUCGGUGGGGCUUACGACGCCGAACUCGGCAUCAUUACCGUAAGGAACGGCUCUUGGGCGUUGCCGCGCGCCCUUGGCUGAAAGUUGCGGCUUGGAACUCGGUGGCCCGCUUACGGGCAGCAGGGAACGACAACAAACGUAAGCUAAACGUGUAGAAAGAGCUGUGGUCUUCUUUACGGACCGGGGUUCGACUCCCCGCAUGUCCACCA